This is a long non-coding RNA of Humulus lupulus (European hop), 1183 nucleotides long. RefSeq lists it as uncharacterized. The transcript has 2 exons. NCBI's taxonomy places the organism in Eukaryota, Viridiplantae, Streptophyta, Magnoliopsida, Rosales, Cannabaceae. The record is from RefSeq and is a predicted model, not a curated record.
UAGAUCUUCGUUAUCAUACACAAAACUAAACACAUCAAGAACAACCAUAUUAUUGCAAAAAUGUUGAACAAUAAUUUCCCGGCAUCGACAUUUGCUUCAAAGGUUUGCAAUUUUCAUAUCAAAUUUAUAUCAUAUCGUAAUGAACUUUCUUCUUGCUAUCUUUCUUCUUUCUGAAUUGGGGUGCACAAAACAGUCAGUUAGCCGAUGAACCGGGCCAACUCAAAUCAAAACCGACUCAACCUAGCCCCUUUACUUUUUUAAUAAAUAAAUAUAUAUAUAUAUAAAUAGUGUUAAUAUUAUAUGUACAAUAUAUUUUAAGGGCCUUUCUUUAGUCCCUCUGUUGGAUUCGAAGGACUAAGUCCUUCUAUUUUCAGUUGUUAGAACACUAAUGGACGGCAGGAUUAAGGUGUUUCAUUGAGAAUAUAUUAAAAUACACAUAUACCCUUUCAUACUUCUUAGCAAAUGGCUACCAUCUAUUACAUUUAAUUUUUUUUAUCUGAUUAUUUUAAUUAAGAACGUUUAAUUCUUGUGUAAUCUUGGGUUUGGGGUAAAAGAGUUUUCGUAGAAUCUGAUAUUUAUGUUAUCUCUCCCUCCCCAUUACUUUAUUUCGUCGGCCUAGUUCGUCUGCUUGGGUGGGUUGGUUGAGUCUCUCAAGUUUUUAAGUUAAAUUUGUUGAAGAGUAGGUCGAUUGGUGAGGUUAAUUGGUGGCGCAGGUUGGGUCCAUUGAUUUUCAUUUUUGAAAAUGUGGUGGGUUUCAUUCCUGGCUUUUCGUUGUGGGUAAUUUUGUUUUUGUUUGUUUGUUUUUUUUUUAAUGGGUGGAUUGGAGCUGAAACAAAAAUGGCUGCAAGGAUGGUAUGGGCUUGAGGGGCUGCCUCAUACCUUAGAAUCUGGCUUCAAAAGGCUUUGCUUGUGUUGUGAAGGAUUUUAAGUUAGCUGACUCCCAUGAAGGGGUAACUUGGACGAAAAUUGGGCUACUGUAGGCAUAACCUAUCAUGCUCAAGAUCAUUUAGGUGAUGUUCUGUAUGUUGAAUUGGCAGAAGUAGGAGCUUAUGUAACACAGGGCGAAAGAAAAUAAUUUAAAUACUCUUAUUUAAAACCAAUUAUGAUUCAGUCUUGUAUUCUCUCAUGCUCUAUUUUUCUGACAAAUGAGCAAUUCUCAAUACCAUAGGUGAUUUGCUAUCAA